RNAcentral lists this ribosomal RNA (584 nucleotides) under Allotrochosina schauinslandi. RNAcentral describes it as "eukaryotic LSU rRNA". It matches the Rfam family "Eukaryotic large subunit ribosomal RNA", at positions 590 to 838 of the family's 3401-position model. Lineage: Eukaryota; Metazoa; Arthropoda; Arachnida; Araneae; Lycosidae. The record is from RNAcentral.
AGGAUUCAGUCUGUAGUUGCCGUCCCGCUGGUCGGGGGCUUUCCCGGAGCCAUCCGAUCGCGAGGGACAGACGCAUUUGUCUCCCGAUCUGAGGACGCCGCAGCCCGUGGGGAAGUGCAAACGUGACGGCCUAGAAGGCGGGGAACGGCAGGUGGCCGGUGGCGAGCCCAGUGCUCUUAACCGGUUUUUAGCAGUCUCGUCGGUGUCAUGUCUCCCCACGGAGGUUUCUCCAUCCAGCAGCGCCUUCUCGUCUGGACGUGCAGUCGCGAGCGAAGGCAACCGCGCGGCCGCACUCUGUCGGAGUGGACCAGCGGCCGUCGGUGACUGAGGACCAGUCGGAGGUUGGCGGUUAGCGGCGAGUUGGUCGGUCGCCCACCCGACCCGUCUUGAAACACGGACCAAGGAGUCUAACAUGUGCGCGAGUCAAUGGGUCUCGUAUAAGCCCAGCGGCGUAACGAAAGCGAAGUUCGGUUACACUCCGAACGUGUCGGGAUGGGCGCACCGACGACCCGUCUUGUGCGACUUGUCGCUUGGGCGGAGUCUGAGCGUACACGUUGGGACCCGAAAGAUGGUGAACUAUGCCC